Aegilops tauschii subsp. strangulata is the source of this 2412-nucleotide non-coding RNA. The record is from RefSeq and is a predicted model, not a curated record. NCBI's taxonomy places the organism in Eukaryota, Viridiplantae, Streptophyta, Magnoliopsida, Poales, Poaceae.
GGUAAUCAACCCGCAGUCCACGAUUAAGUGAAUAACGUUUCGCUCAGCACGUUUUACAUAAAAACACCUCAUAUUUUACAUAAUCAGCCCGCAGUCCAUCACCAUCUCUUUCCUCCUGAGUCUGGGUGCUCCAAGCCGGUUCCAAGCGAGACGGGGCCGCUAUGCAGACGACGCUGGGCGAGGCGGCGGCGAUCUCCGGCCAGAUCCGGUCGGGGAGGCGAGGCAGGGGCCGGAUCCUGUUCCGGGGACGGCGUGGAGUCGAUCUACGAGGCACGGGAGGAGGUCAGGCGGUGGGGCUUGAACUCCAGCGGGCCCCCUUUUGAUGGACGGGGCCGCCCACAUCGCCAGCGACUCCCCGGAGGCCGACAGGGCCUCCUCCUCCGCAUCCUCUACCGGCUCGGCCUCCUGGCGCUCCCGGCCGCACAAGUUGAUUCACCUGCGGCGGCGCCGGCGACCGUUGUCCGCUCGGAGAGGAGAGGGCGGCGAAGCCGACGGCAAGGGCGACGGUGACGACGUGCAGGACCUCGCUCUGCCGCUGGGGAGAUGUCCUUCGCGGCGGUUCUCGCCCAGUGCCUUGCUUCAUGGUCCCUCGAUUGCUAAUUGAACGACGGCCGGCAGCUAGCUGAUGUGGUGGCCGGUCUCUGGCUCGCGAGCGUCGUGGUGCUCGAAAACUCAAAUCCCUCGAGUGGUGAAAACUCCGCAUCAUGGACGACAGGUCGAGCGCCCGCGGCAGCCAGCCGUCAUACAACCCAUGCGGAAGAAGACGAUUGUGUUUCCGUGGUUGGUGAAGGGGCUGGUGUCAUCGUGCCUGUCAGCGUAGUUGUUGUUCUGAGAAUUUCCAUGAUAAGCAAGCAGUGAAUCUGUCUUGGCUGCAGAUAAAAACUGUUGCAGCGGUAUAUGGAUUCGAAGUGAUGAGUGCCCAUGAUUAUGUUGUAGUACAUGCCUUUGGAAAACCAUGGCCAGUGUUGUUUCCACCGAACCGGGUCCUCUCUCCGCUGUUCCGAUCUAAUGUCGACUGCGUGCCGUUGGCUUCCCGUGCACAAGGUCCUACCGGCGGCAUUGGGCACCACGUGGGAAGCGGAAGGAGGAGCCGCAACUCUCCAUGCAAGCUCGGGUCAAUGUCAUCGCAAGUUCCGUGCUCGACGUUGCUGUUCAAUCUCGCCUCAGCUGAUUUCGCCCGCCGUCCACCCAAUGCUCCACACUUCGCCGUAACUCAAUCUGCCGGUUCUCCGCUUGAGGUACGUACUGAAGCUAACCUUGCAAGAGGCAGGCAUGGGAGGCAUGAUUGUUGCUGAAGCGGAACUCAUAAAUGUCUCACGUCAUGUGGUUCUGUGCUAUUCUUAAUCUUCUUCUCUGAAGUGUGUAGUUUCAGUUUCACAUCAAAUGUGUUGCGCUUGCAGUGCGUACCAAUGUACAGUUUACCGAUGUGUAUAUAUGCGGAGGAGUCGAUGGAAAACAUUGAAGCCAGUAGUUGUAUACCUAUUUUAAAAAUCAGCAAGUGGUUAGUAACAUUCUAGAUCAAGGUAUUACAGAGAGAAAGGAGUAUCUCCUAUUUUAUUUUUGUGGGAUUGGGAGCAAUUUAGAAACUUAUGAAAAUAUAGGAAUCAUUCUCACUUUAAUCUCCAGUCCUCUUGUUUUGCUUCAUUUAUCAUGCAUUAUGCAUGUCAUAUGUUCCCACAAAUGCCUGGCAGAAGCACAACUUUCAUAGGGAACUUAGAAUGGUCACUUUGGUAGCAGGGCAGAUGCACGUUCCCAGUGUAUAUGUAAAAUUAUAUGCAUAUCUAGCCAUAGAAAUACAUGCAUCUGAACCGCAUCGGACAUAGUGUCGGACUGUCAGCCUAAAAUAUUCCUCUUUAUAUCAUUCUCCAUUUCUGUGAAUAUGCAAAUAUAAGUGCCAUGUAUGUGCUUGUGGAACUUUUGCUGUAAAAUUUCACGCUUCUUUACGAAAAGUAGGUUGAAGAAAGUUUUGAUUUUUCUUGGAUAGGUUAUCAUAUGACAGAACGUCUGGGGUGAAAGCUAAGCUACUUCCAAUGGUCCCAAAUGAGAAGGCAAGAAGGUAUCAGCUGUAUGAGAAGACCCCCGCCCAUUCCAUUCUCUAUGAAGUCAAAAGUUUCCCACUGAAUAUAUUUGGUACUAAAACGGUCGUUAUGUCAGCACCACGAUCGUGUGCCUAUUGUUGGCUCUUAAUUCUUUAGGAUUAUUUGAUUUGUUUGAUUCAUUCUGUUCAUAUUUAUGCAGCAACAAAAUACAUUCAAGAUCAGGGUGUGUGAGGGUUAAACAUGUUCAUUUAUGUGGCAUCAAGCUAUGUAUGUUGAUAGCAUGAUCUCCUUUUCUUUUGCUUUGCAGAAUUAUUCUCGACACUGGAGAUAUAUGCUAAUCCUCUAGCUUUGCUAAUUUUAUCUUUUGAUUUCA